This 77-nucleotide transfer RNA is filed under the name Acholeplasma laidlawii. RNAcentral's name for it is "tRNA-Met". It matches the Rfam family "tRNA". From Rfam's summary of the family: Transfer RNA (tRNA) molecules are approximately 80 nucleotides in length. The record is from RNAcentral. Lineage: Bacteria; Bacillati; Mycoplasmatota; Mollicutes; Acholeplasmatales; Acholeplasmataceae. RNAcentral also lists the same sequence under 3 other names.
GGCGGUGUAGCUCAGCUGGCUAGAGCGUGCGGUUCAUACCCGCAAGGUCGAGGGUUCAAGUCCCCCCGCCGCUACCA